RNAcentral lists this transfer RNA (78 nucleotides) under Rhodobacterales bacterium. RNAcentral's name for it is "tRNA-Arg". It matches the Rfam family "tRNA". Rfam says of the family: Transfer RNA (tRNA) molecules are approximately 80 nucleotides in length. The record is from RNAcentral. Lineage: Bacteria; Pseudomonadati; Pseudomonadota; Alphaproteobacteria; Rhodobacterales.
GGUUCCGUGGCUCAAUCCGAUAGAGCAGCCCCCUCCUAAGGGGAGAAGCUGCAGGUUCGAAUCCUGCCGGGGUCGCCA